CAAAAAUUAGCCGCACCACUCCUCUCCUUCACUGUUGCCGUCUCAGGCAAGAAGCCGCCGGCGAAGCCACCCUCUCUCUCUCCUUUUCCGGAGGAAAACCCAACACUGUCGAGAACCCCUCUCUUCUUCUCCUCCCAUUCUCCCUCCGCCUUUUUUUCUUCUACGUACGAUAAGGCCACAGCAACAGGAACGCCACUCCGACUAGUUGUUCCGCCGGCUAAGAAACCAGGCUAUAGCGAAGCCUCUCUCCUCCUCUCUUUUCUUUUUUUCGGCGACAGCGACCCCGACUCCAGCAAGCCAGCAGCCAGCAGAGGCCGCUCCGACCGUGAAGAGUCGGGUGGACUAGAAGCAUCAAGGCUUGGGUUUGCUAAAGAAGAAUCUAUCCCGUCCAGGAUUUUGAACAUAAAGUUCAACUAUGUCGAAGAGUUUGCAUCUGGGACGAAAUUAGUAGUAGUGUUUAGACUUUAUGUGUUAUUUUAUUUGCUUCUGUAAUAAUUUAGAGUAACCCAACUCUCUAUAUGUAUAUAAAACAAUUUGGGGGAGGGGAAUUUACGUGCUACCUCAUGUUAUUUUUUAUUUGUUAAACUUGUGUGUGUAUGUAUUGGUAGUCAAUUAUUUGAUUAUAACUAAAAGAAUAAUGCAUGCUGUUGUAUUACGUAUCACCACCUCCGCAUGUAUUUAAUGUCAGCUAGAAUUUACAUGCUUGUAUAUUUAUUUAUUGCUUUCCUUAAAACUACUGAUGUGUUACUGAUCUCAUUUACGUGCUAAAUGUUAUCGCUUUGAUAACCAUCAUUUCUUUCAUACUUCUCCCAAUUAAGAACCUCUUUUAUUUUUUUUAUUUUUCGUAAUGUUGUGUCUUUGCACCUCUCACAAAAUCCACUUCAAAUACCUUAUACUAAAGAAUUGACAGAUGUGUGGAAGAAGCGAAUACUCUUAUUAUCGUGGUACCGCGAGUCUUCUCGCAUAGAACCUCUUCAAGUCGGUGUCUAUCCAACUCUUAGAAAUUUUAAUUAGGUCAUACAUGUUGUUAAACCUAGAUGAUAUUACCUUUGGUGUCAAACCAUACUAUUAGUAUCACCCUAUAGUCUAAAGGGUCCAACACCCUUACGUGUCAAUGUGAUCAUAACAAUUAAGUCAAGCUAUGUCAAAUCGAGUUAGUAUUUGUUUAUUAUUUUGUUUGUAGAAUGAUGACAUCUCCAUGUUCCGUCAGCCUGCAAAUCAUCAUAAAAGUAAAUUAGAAAUUAAGAUUGGUAGAACGAUAUCAAGAAAAAACAUGAAAUAAGAGAUUCGUCAUUUAUUUGCUGUCCUUUACUCGUUUUUGUUAUUAUACUGGAUCGACAAUUGAUUAGGGCUUUGUUGCAAUUUUGUGACCCCUCGAGAAUGGUCUCCAAGUUUAGUAAUUUUGAAUUGGUACCUAAAAUCGAAGAAAUUAAUGGCUUCAUUGAAUUGUCGUAUCACAGUGUGAGAUUAUUAUACCCGGGACAUUCUAUUAAGUCUAGGAGUGAAGUACAAUCCAAUAUUUACCUACUCCAAUCUUGGGGUGUAAUUCUUUCAACUUUUUGUAUUCAUGCUUCGGCCAUGAAGAUAGUUAUUUUUCUUUUUAUAACAAUUUGAGUGCUUGUCUAGAGAUGGAAAAAAUAUUGUGUAAAUGCCUUUUCCAUAACAUUAUUAGGUUCUCUAGCUUUUUUAAAGUUAGAAGAAAGAUCGAUACUCGCUUGAGGUACGUGGUUCGUGCAUUAGCGCAAGGUAGGGACGGACCUAGAAAAACUAUAGUGCACAUGAUAUUAGCAAAGAUCAUGAGUAGUCUGUCUGCACGUGUUAAUGGUAGAAUACUUUUUGAAGAAUGCAACCUUUUGGUACAAUUGUGGGCCAUUGAACAAUUCUAUAGACGACUUGACAUAAUAGAUCUUCUUAAUGGUAUGAGCAACAAAAUUGAUAGACAUCCAAAAAGAGAGGAAGCUUUAUCGCUCUCGUAGCAUUCAUGAUAUUUUUAGUAGUACACAAUGACUAUCACGUUCAAUGGAUAUGCUUCUCUUCGAGUACUCCGUCAAUUUGGACAAGUUCAAAUGAUACCAUUGCAAUCCAAUAUGGAUCAUUGUAUGACUUUGGACAAAAUUAUUCAGAAGUCCAUAACAUAUUUCGAAGAUGCGAGAGGGUGAUAACUAUAGAUGUGCACGAUGUUCCUGCAGUACACCUGAAUACUACUUAUGGAUUCUCAAAGAGGCUGAGGGUCGGGAAUUAAGUGAAGAAAGGAAAUUAUGGGCUCGCCGAUGACUAAGAAACUAUAUGGGCACACAACUUGUGGGGCCUUGAAAUCGCUCCAUAUGACAUCAAGCUCCUAAGGUUGAUAUUUUCGAGAUUUCAAAAAUUUAGGAUAACUUUCCUAUGUUAUCCCAUUUUCCCCUUAGUUUAUCUCUGCUUUUAUGAUGUAAUAGUUCAAUUUCUAUCCAAUAAAUGAAAGUUUGUUUCUUCUUUAUUAUUGUCUAACCUAAACUCCAAAUUGACAAAUAAGACUUGAAUUAAUCAUUGUGCAUCACUUAUUUUUCGUCUUAGGCCUACCUUUGAAUCAACGAGGGUCCUUGCAUUUUAGGAUAUUUAUUUUAGAAAAAUAAUGUGCUUAUUAUCUUAUUUUCAUGCAAUGUUCUCACUUGGUUUUCUUUAGAUUUCUAUUUUUGUUUAUCCCUCCCCAACUAUUGGUCUGUAGAUCAUGGUUUACCACACACGAUCAAAAUACACUCUUCUUUCUCCUCUUAGUGAUAAUCACAAAGGAAAGAGUAAGAUGAUUAAUAAUAAGGUUAUAGUUGAAGUUGUUGAAGAAUAACAUUUUUCUAAUGAGUUUGUUUCAAGAUUGGAGCAAAAAUAAUGAAAAAAGAGAUAUAUGAUAUGCGCGAGUGAGCUACGUUGUUACCCUCCAUCAAUCGGAGACAAGCUGGUCAUCCAUGUUUGUCUCCAAAGAGAUAUUGAUAUAGAGUAACACCUUAGCCUACUCACGCAUAUUAGAUAUCUAUUCUUCUAACUCCCUUAAUUUUGCUCAAUUCUUGAGACCAACUCAUUCAAAAGAUGCUCUUCUUCAACAGUUUCAACCAUAACCUUAUUACUUUGAUCGUGUGUGGUAGAAAAUGGUCUAUAGAUCAACCAUUGGGGAGGAAUAAACAAAAUAUAAAUCUAAAGAAAACCAAGUUAGAACAUCACAUAGAAAUUAGAUAAUAAACACAUUAUUUUUAAAAAUAAAUGUCCUAAAAUGCUAGAAACCUCGUCGAGUUUGAAGUAGGCCUAAGACAAUAAAUUAGUGAUGAACAAUGAUUAAUUCAAGUCUUAUUUGUCAGUUCGAAGUUUAGGCUAAAGGAUAAUAAAAAGAAGCAAACUUUCAUUUAUUGGAUAAAAAUCAGACUAUUACAUCAUAGAAACUGAAAUAAACUAAGGGUAACAUGGGAAAUUUAUCCUAAGAUUUUGAAAUCUCAAAGAUAUCAAUCCUAGGAGCUUGGUGUCAUCUGCCCUCUUGUAUAUGGAGUGAUUUCAUAUCCAAGGUUCCACAAGUUGUGUGUCCAUGUAUUUUCUCUUUUAUUGACGAGCCCAUAAUAUCCUUCUUCACUUAAUUCUUGAAGGAACGUCAUGCACCCAUAUUUAUAGUUAUCACCCUCUCCCAUCUUUGAAGUAUAUUGACUUCUGGAUCAUUUUAUCCGAAGAUAUACAAUGAUCCAUGUUGGAUUGCAAUGUAUCACUUGAACUUGUCCAACUGACAGAGUACUCGAGGAUGAACAUAUGGUUGGAUGUAUUUUAAGCCAAUAAGGUCAAUGAAAUAACAUUUAUCACCUCUCAGGCUCUCACUAUGGCAUGGGGGAUAUAUAGCAAAUAGAGUUUUCAUUGAAUGUGAUAGUUCAUUGUGUUCUAUCAAAAUUAUCUACGAAUCCCACAAGGGCGGUGAAACCUUUUAUUCUUCUUAGAUGACUAUCAAUUUUACUGACCAUAUCAUUGAGGAAAUCUAUCAUGUCCAGCCAUCUAUGGAAAUGUUCGAUCGCCCAUAAUUGUAGCAAAAUGUUGCAUCCUUCAAAAAAGAUUCUACCAUUUACACAUGCAGGCAGAUUCCUUAUGAUCUACCAUUACACAUGUGCAUUAUAGUUUUCGUAGGAUCUCGUCCCUUACGCUAAUGCAUGAACCAUGUACCUCAAAUAGGUAUCAAACUUUC
Molecule: long non-coding RNA, 4186 nt
Filed under: Solanum lycopersicum (tomato)
Lineage: Eukaryota; Viridiplantae; Streptophyta; Magnoliopsida; Solanales; Solanaceae
Description: partial TCONS_00054344
Source: RNAcentral